This 253-nucleotide ribosomal RNA is filed under the name uncultured bacterium. RNAcentral describes it as "partial 16S ribosomal RNA". It matches the Rfam family "Archaeal small subunit ribosomal RNA", at positions 474 to 727 of the family's 1478-position model. The record is from RNAcentral.
UACCAGCACCCCGAGUGGUCGGGACUAUUAUUGGGCCUAAAGCAUCCGUAGCCGGCCUUACAAGUCCUCCGUUAAAUCCAGCUGCUUAACAGAUGGGCUGCGGAGGAUACUAUAAGACUAGGAGGCAGGAGAGGCAAGCGGUACUCAGUGGGUAGGGGUAAAAUCCGUUGAUCCAUUGAAGACCACCAGUGGCGAAGGCGGCUUGCCAGAAUGCGCUCGACGGUGAGGGAUGAAAGCUGGGGGAGCAAACCGG